Sinocyclocheilus grahami is the source of this 85-nucleotide ribosomal RNA. The record is from Ensembl. NCBI's taxonomy places the organism in Eukaryota, Metazoa, Chordata, Actinopteri, Cypriniformes, Cyprinidae.
GCGUAUGAUCUCGGAAGCUAAGCAGGGUCGGCCCUGGUUAGUACUUGGAUGGGAGACUGCAUGGGAGUACCAGGUACUGUAAGCU